RNAcentral lists this ribosomal RNA (468 nucleotides) under uncultured bacterium. Its description in RNAcentral is "partial 16S ribosomal RNA". It matches the Rfam family "Bacterial small subunit ribosomal RNA", at positions 28 to 507 of the family's 1533-position model. The record is from RNAcentral.
GACGAACGCUGGCGGCGUGCUUAACACAUGCAAGUCGAACGGAAAGGCCCUGCUUUUGUGGGGUGCUCGAGUGGCGAACGGGUGAGUAACACGUGAGUAACCUGCCCUUGACUUUGGGAUAACUUCAGGAAACUGGGGCUAAUACCGGAUAGGAGCUCCUGCUGCAUGGUGGGGGUUGGAAAGUUUCGGCGGUUGGGUAUGGACUCGCGGCUUAUCAGCUUGUUGGUGGGGUAGUGGCUUACCAAGGCUUUGACGGGUAGCCGGCCUGAGAGGGUGACCGGCCACAUUGGGACUGAGAUACGGCCCAGACUCCUACGGGAGGCAGCAGUGGGGAAUAUUGCACAAUGGGCGGAAGCCUGAUGCAGCAAAGCAGCGUGCGGGAUGACGGCCUUCGGGUUGUAAACCGCUUUCGCCUGUGACGAAGCGUGAGUGACGGUAAUGGGUAAAGAAGCACCGGCUAACUACGUG